CACGUAGGGUGCGAGCGUUGUCCGGAAUUACUGGGCGUAAAGGGCUCGUAGGCGGCCAACUAAGUCGGAUGUGAAAUCCCCAGGCUCAACUUGGGAACUGCAUCCGAUACUGGAUGGCUUGAAUUCGGGAGAGGGAUGCAGAAUUCCAGGUGUAGCGGUGAAAUGCGUAGAUAUCUGGAGGAAUACCGGUGGCAAAGGCGGCAUCCUGGACCGACAUUGACGCUGAGGAGCGAAAGCUAGGGGAGCAAACGGG
RNAcentral lists this ribosomal RNA (253 nucleotides) under uncultured bacterium. RNAcentral's name for it is "partial 16S ribosomal RNA". It matches the Rfam family "Bacterial small subunit ribosomal RNA", at positions 524 to 776 of the family's 1533-position model. The record is from RNAcentral.